Molecule: long non-coding RNA, 6777 nt
Organism: Aedes albopictus (Asian tiger mosquito)
Lineage: Eukaryota; Metazoa; Arthropoda; Insecta; Diptera; Culicidae
Exons: 2
Source: RefSeq, a predicted model, not a curated record
AAAUGUUAAAAAUAUACUCUAAAGAGAAACUAAGCAUAAUUUGAUUAAUUUCGGUGGAGCAGGUACGAAGUUAGACAACUUUGUAAAUUACGCAAUAACUACCGACUCGCCCUUAAUUAUUGUUAUCUAGUGCAAAUAAAUGGAUGCAUUUAAUUGUUUGACUGGCUAGAAAAACUGAAAAAUCUCCAUUUUGAGAUUUUCUCUAUGAAACUGAACAUUAAAAACAAGAGCAGUACAAUGUUUGUCGUGAGCGCUUGUAAAAAUAAAUAUUGUAUGCUUUCGCGGAUCCACACUGAACAUCUAGGAAAAGCAUUGUCAAAAUAAAAACGACACUAAUAAGAUCUUGCCCUGUGACCUAUCUUGCCCGUGACCCUUAUAUCUUCGGAAAAGCCUAUCAUGAUCAUGAUUAUAGGGAGAAACUCAAUGCAAGAUGGUUCUCCGAAAGGUUUGUGAUUUUUUUAUCAUCUUAUUCUUUGUAAACGACAACCGCUGCUCAAAGGAAUUGAAACUUAUUUACAGUUUAUGUAUACGAAAUGCAACCAUGCCAUUUGAUCCAUUGGAAAAACUUACAGGAUAAUUAGAACCACUCCUCGUACCCAAUUAGCUAACCAACACAGCAUAAGUGGUAAUGCUCUUCGGCUAUUCGGCUGAGCCAUCAGCGCGAAGCAUUUUUCGUCCACAGGUGCUGGCGCAUGGAUGAAUUAUUGGAAGGUCCAAUUCAUUGUAGCUUCUCAAACUUCACAUUUGGCCUCACAAGUACUAUGUAAUAUUUAGUAUUUUUAAUAUUGCAGAAUACUACAUUUUGUCAUUCAUCUAUAUCAAUGUUUUUGCCAAAAUUUUCAAGUCUGGAAAAUUUAAACUAAUUUGGACAUGGUACCUAUAAGCACACAUAGAAAUAAACAGACGUAACAGUAGAGCAAUUUCCAUCGACCACGUCUUUAACAAUUGUUUUGUAUUUAUUUGGUUGGCAAUCUCACAUCCAGAAGCAUAAACUAGAUAAGAGUGGAAAAUGGGAUAAGGUUCAAGAUAGGUCAUUGGUCAAAAUUCUCAAAAGUGUAAUAUAUCGAUGCAACCUAGCAUAAGACCUUCACAUUCAACAUUCUGCGCUCUGCCAUCAAAAAGACCAAAAAUCACGAACGGAACUGUUUUCCUCCUCUUAACUGCGCACAAAGACUGGACAGUGACCUCGAAGACCAGAUUCCGCGAGAAGAUCGAAACGACCUAACAAUCUGCGCUGUUUUCAAAACGACCAAGCAUUACCAAAGGAAUUGUCCUUCUCCUCUUUGAUACACACAAACACUGGACAGUGGAAUCUAAUAUCCUUAUCCCGAUAAAGAACAACCUAUGUGGGUAAAAAAGAAAGGGAAUUCCCUUUCCAGAAAAAUACCAAAUCUAGCGAAGAAAAAGUUAGAAUUCUUAUAAAUUAACCAACUUACCCUUGAAAGUUGAACAGACGCUAAUCAAACUGCGCCUCGCCGGAAAAUGACGACUUGGCUGGUACUCGAGCUGGCGACUGCUCUGAUGCAUCGCAUUCCCGUUCUCGUUCACUUGUCCCGCACUGCUCGGCACAGAUUCCUAUACGAGAACGCUCCCGCUGCCGCUCGGCUCGAAUCUCAUCGCGCUCUCGCAGAUCGUCAGAGACGAUGCCCGAGUCUUUUCUAGCUUCGCUUCCACCAGCCAUUUACCCCGGGUGAUUGAUUCCAGCGGUGAGCCAUCUGCCGCAGCAUGUUCUCCUUCUGGGCCAGGUUCUUUUUCAGCUGAGUACCGACUCCGUCCGCUUUCACCGGAUCUUUCGACAAUAUAUAGCGCUUCGGUCAUUUGGCAAUUUUGGAUAACUCGUAGCUUAUCCCCGGAAUUGCACAAAAAGAACAGAAAAACCAAGAAAAACACUUAACACUUCGGGGACGCAAAAACUCUGCACUCAGGCAAAUAAACCUAAGAUUAUCAUAAGGUCUAAGUUAUGAAAUUGUAUUUAAACAAUUCAUAACGGCUAGAAUGCAUUUCAUAAGGUCGGUUUAUGACGCAGAAUCGACUCACAGUUUGGCUUUUAUACACAUUUUGCACCACGAUAUUCUCAAGCGUCGAUAGCCGCGUGGGUUGGGCACGAGCUCAGUGAUCUCGGCGUUCAUGGAUCGAUUCCAGUCUGCAUCAUUUUACGAUUUUUCUGCUCUUUUCAUAAGUUUAUCUUAUGUAAGUAGGUCAUAAUACGCAUGUUCAAUUUUCAUAAGGUAUUCUUAUGGCAUCCAUACUUUACAGUUAUGGCUAAAUUUCAUAAGGUAUUUUGAUGAAUUUCGGUAGUUUACUUCGCUGAGUGUGUGCACAACCAACGUAUCUAAAUACGGUAUUUACCUAGAUACUUUGGUGCAGAGAAAAUAGGUAGAGAAGCGAAGAGUGAACAGCCGUCUGAACGGCAACACUUUUUCUGUUUUGAUUUCGUAACUCGGAUGUUGGCAACUACCGAAAAACAGAUUAAUCCAUCUAUCGAGGGUAAUGUCUUUCUCGUGUACUGCAUUAGAAAAUGAUUUAUGCUGUUGAUUUAUUAUUGUCUAUCCGGUUGGAAUCAAGACCGACAUUCAAUCAAAAAUUGCCAUUUUCUUGGUCCACAAGUGUCGCAACUGUUUCGCAUCUAGUGCGCUGUGUUGCUGACAACAACGGGAAGAAUGCGCACUACUUUUGACAUGAUUAAAAAACGUCGCGAGUUGGAUCGCGUCGCGACUUGAUUGUGCGAAGUCCGGUUUGGUGGCGGCCCGACAAUAACAAGAAAUCAUCUAAAUUGUAUACCAAAAAGGAUCAAUUUUCGUCAAUUUAAGGAAUCAAUGAACUAUUUCGGUAGCUUCGGUAAUCGAUUUUACUGAGGCUCAGUACACCAACUGUCAAAACCGUGUGCAAAAGGUAAACAAUGCAGUAUAGCUGUAUUCAGCUGUUCUAUUUUCGUCAAAAAAUUACCGAAUACGGUAUUCCAAAUUAAGUGUGUAAAAAUAUUGGUAAAAAAAUAUUUCGAAUGAUCGCAAUACUUAUCAUGAAUUAUGCGGCAAUCGUCAAGGUUUGUUGAUUUUGUUCGAUAGGAUACCAUAAAGAUACUAUAAGGAACAUUUCGUGUCUUUGCAUAUAGUGUCUUUAGGAUACCAGUUUGACGGUUCGAUAAGGUUUUUUUGGCUUCACACUCUUCGCUUCUCUACCUAUUUUCUCUGCUUUGGUGCACAACAAGGAAAAGAAAAUGAGCCAUUUUACGAGACGUUUCGGAUCAGCUGAUCGCUCAUUUCAUGAAUGAAAAUUUGACAUAAGGUUGCGCCCAAGCCCGCGAGUGUUAAUAUCAAUAUUAACACUGUUGUCGUUUCGUAAAAUAGACUAUGGCGCGACAGAUGAAUGACGUUUCAUGCUCGUGUCGAUUACACGCUUAGCAUUUUUAGCUCAAAAACGUGUAAUGGUUACACUAAAUCUCACACGAAAAAAAAAUUAACCCACAAGCUACCUACCGUGUCAUGCCCUAAUACCGUGUGCCUCCUAAUACCGUGUAUUUGACAAAAAACUCAAAUAUUUUACUAAGUGUAUUACUUUUUUAACUGAGUAACUAGUUCAAUCAUUAGCAUAUCAAACCUUCUCAAGUUAGGCGUGAUAAAUUUGGCACAUAUUUACAAAAACAAGCAAUUAAAAAUAUUUACACAAUGUGAGUGCAAAGUAACAAUACGCGGUAUUAGGGUAUGGUUCCUUUAGUGUUCCAAAUACCGUGUUUCGGCUAAAACUUGCAAACUGAAAAUAUCAUUGAUACUUUUUACUUUAUGAAUCAAUUGCACAAACCUCUAGGCAACGUUUGACGCAUAGGUUCUUAUAAGUAUGAACUUAGUAUGAUUGAUAUGGUGAUGAUUCAAAGGACCACCAAUGUAUGCGGGUCACAUACACGGUAUUAGGAACAAUGCUAUGUUUUACAAUUUUGAUUUUAACUAUGGAUUAAACAUUUGGAAUUUCAUUAAUCAUAUUUAUUAUACACAAUAGACACAAUAAGCAAUAAUCCUCUCUCCUCUCUCCUCUUCUUGGCAUAACGUCCUCACUGGGACAAAGCCUGCCUCUCAGGUUAGUGUUCUAUGAGCACUUCCACAGUUAUUAACUGAGAGCUUCCUCUGCCAAUGACCAUUUUGCAUGUGUAUAUCGUGUGGCAGGCACGAAGAUACUCUAUGCCCAAGGAAGUCAAGGAAAUUUCCAUUACGAAAAGAUCCUGGACCGACCGGGAAUCGAACCCGUCACCCUCAGCAUGGUCAUGCUGAAUACCCGUGCGUUUACCGCCUCGGCUAUAUGGGCCCCUAAUAAGCAAUAAUAUAGCGUUUGAAAAAUCAAGAAACUUAGAUUAUUGAUUUUUACAGGGCUCUUCGAAGUGAAGAGCAUCCUUAAGGUCACGGUAUUAGGGCAUGGCACGGUACACGAAUAAAAAACAGAUUACCCAAAAAAUACGACAAAAGAACGCAAAAAUAACAUCACCAUGAUGUUGCAUGAAGAAGAAGAACGAUGGUGUUUUGAAAAAAUCCUAUCCCAAUAACACAGGGGAAGUUUUUAAAAUGCUUCUAUAAAGUCUAAAACAAAAUCCAAUUAAAAACUGUGCGAUGUACGGUGUUAGGGUGUUAGCCUCAUCUGUAUAGGUGUGGAUAUUCAGCAUAACCAUGCUGAAAGUGACGGAUUCGAUUCCCGGUCGUUCCAGGAACUUUUUGUAAUGAAAAUUCCCUUCAAUAGGGUCCUAAAUUUAAAGACGAAAUCUCGCUUAUAUUGAAUAAUACGAUCAAGCAUGGUAUUCUAAUCGGAAUUGUACUUUACUCGAACUUGAAAAACAAAGGAAUAAUGAGAAAAUUCGAAAUAAGAAAAAUGGUAAAUAGUUCUACUUUGACAUUUGAGGUCAACCUUGUGUGACUGAGCUCGACAUUUUUCGCACUGGGAUUUCAAAAAUGUUUCCAUCUGACAUACACGGUGAAAAAAAUCAAUCAAAGUAUGUGUUAUAAGCUAGGGACGAGACAAAAGGCUAAAAAAAUAAAAAUUAUAUAUUUUCAACUGAGUGUCGCGGACUGACUCAAUAUGCAACUCAAUAUUGUCGUCGCGGUUGAAACCCGAAGAUUCCCCACACCCGACAAUCGAACUUUCUCAAAAUCCAUGCGUGAAACCUAACGUCGGACGUAGUGCGCUGGACAGCGGACCUGGCCCUUUAUCCAGCGCACUAUGCCCGACGUACGUCCGACACACGGUUUGGCAGAAAAAUCGAUUUUCGCGUGUCGAAAAUUCCGAUUUUCAACUGCACGAACAAUAUUGUCGUCGCGGUUGAAACCCGAAGAUUCCCCACACCCGACAAUCGAAUUUUCUCAAAAUCCAUACGUGAAACCUAACGUCGGAUGUAGUGCGCUGGACAGCGGACCUGGCCAUCUAUCCAGCGCACUGUGCCCGACGUGCGUCCGACACACGGUUGAGGAGAAAAACAGAUUUUCGCGUGUCAAAAAUUCCGAUUUUCAACUGCACGAACAAUAUGCAACUUCAAGUACAAUCGAAAGCGCCAAGGUAACGGCAUCGGUGGAUACGAAGGAACUUGCGAUGGAUGAUAUCGCUCCGUGAUGGUGGAUUCCGCUAUGGUUACGGCAGUGAUGGUGAACUUGCACGUAGGACAGCGAGAAUCGAUUGAGCCACGUUUAAAACGGAAACGUUCGAUUUUGACACCAAAUAAGUUAAGCUCAACCGCGGAAGAAACAAAAUCCGUGUCCGUGAAACUCAGGAUCACUACCGGCUGUCGGUGAUAAUGUACAAGCAGCGCAACGGGAACCAUCAGAACAAUAAGAGAUAUGACUUGACAUCGAGAUCGACGAGCGAGAAAUUGACGGAAGAUUACUAAGAUUGUUGAAAAUAUUAAAUAUUUUACAAAUUUUGUAUUUGAAUCUAUUUGAAUAAAAUUUUGCCUAUUUUAUUUAUUUUUUUUUUUCAAUGAAAUAAAAACAGCAGCCUAAACAAAUUCCCGAUAAAUCCAGGUUAAACUAGCUUUAAUUUUUGCAACUUAUACUGGAAUUUGUUUUUAUCAAAUUUAUACUAGGCCAGUAUAGCCUGCAUAUAAACCAAGCUUGGGGUCAACCAGGCGAAAUGAAUUUAGUGUAAGAUUUAUACUAUUUAGUUUAGAUUUUUUCCUGAGUGUGCUCUCUCAGCGGGAGCCAAACAUCGGGAGCCAAGCAUUGAUUGAUGCACCAAGCGAAAAGAAGAAGAAGUUUUGACAUCCAAGCGGUGUGCCGUCGAUCAGAUCCUCGUCGCUGAUUGGUCGAUGGAUGUAAACGGCACACCGCUUGGAUGUCAAAAUUCUUCUUCUUACCGCUUGAUGCAUCAAUCAAUUGAAGAUGAAGGUUAUGUUAAACCUUGUUGAGCCUGUGUGAUUGAUUGAAGGGUAUUGUUAUCUAGGUGCUGCAAAUAUAAUCAAAACUGUUGUCACGAUAUCUCCAUUUGCCGCUGUCAAGUCGUUGAAAAGCGAGGAGAAGGAUAAACAUUGUUUUGAGCCUAUUGAGUUGUCCAAAAAAUGUCUCACGAAACCUAAUGCAAGCCUAUCCAUAUAGGGGGUUGUGGGGCAAGAUGGCCACCCUGUCUUUUAAGCAUUAAUUCGCAACACAAAAAUAUUUUCUGCAUGGGUUGUGAUUAUAAACAAUGCUUUAUGUUUAUAAUGUGCGAAAAAGUUACUAUUAGUUUGAAAAAUCUGCUAUAAAAUAGUGUUUGAAGUUUGAGUGUUCAAAAACAGUGUUUUCUUAUAGUAUCAGGUCAUCUGAUUUUAAG